This 207-nucleotide ribosomal RNA is filed under the name uncultured bacterium. RNAcentral describes it as "partial 16S ribosomal RNA". It matches the Rfam family "Bacterial small subunit ribosomal RNA", at positions 568 to 774 of the family's 1533-position model. The record is from RNAcentral.
CAUGUAGGCUGCUUGUUAAAUCUGAUGUGAAGGCCCCGGGCUCAACCCGGGAAGUGCAUUGGAUACUGGCAAGCUUGAGUAUGGGAGAGGAAAGUGGAAUUCCGAGUGUAGGGGUGAAAUCCGUAGAUAUUCGGAGGAACACCAGUGGCGAAGGCGGCUUUCUGGACCAAUACUGACGCUGAUAUGCGAAAGCGUGGGGAGCAAACA